CAUCCCCCUCAUUUUCACUUCAGCUCUCUCUCUCUACCCGAGAGCUUCUCUCUCCUCAUCCUCGCCGGAAAUCGCCGCCGCCGCACCGCCGCCGUCGCCGGAAUCCGGAUUUCAACCAAAAUUUCCAGAUUUUCUUCUCUUCCUUCCCUCUUUCCUUUUCUCCAACCAAAAUCAAGAAAUUUAGCCAUUUAAUCCCCCAAAAACCCUAGAACCCGAAGCUAAAAUUGGGGCUUUUGUGAUUUCUUCUUUCCAAGCUCAAAUCAAGGCUAUGGGUUUGGCAAGGAUUUUUGGUGAAGAAGGCCAAGGAGAAGGUAUAUGACGUGAUUUUUGAAGGAGAAAGGGAAACACGAUCGUUAAGGAAGCUUAAGCGGAAAGCAUCAGAGUGUGGAGUACGCCAACAUUUUCCAGGUAGGGUGAGCUGUCCCUUCCUUGUUAGAGGCUUUUCGAUAUAUGUGGAAUGCUCUAGUAUAAUAUUAUGUUGCCUGCAAGUACGUUUUUGGUUGUUCAUUAGUCGAUGCCUCGUGAUACAUGUGUUUUCAAAACUGAUAAUUGUUGAUUGUGAAAACCGAGGCUAGACUUGCAUGUUGAGAUACUGUACCUUUUGUAUGUUGUGUUUGUGACCUGAAAGUGAAUGGGACCUAGACGCGUAGAUUCCUAGGGAUCCCACGGUGUCGAUAACCGUGAACCUCCGGAGGGGGCUGUGCUCCUAUGUUUGUCGGGGAAAGGUAAGUACAGACAGUGAACCAGUCAUAGGAGACUCAGAGCCAGGAAAUGGACACUUUCGCUACUUGUAGUCACAAGGACUACAGAGUAGUUGGCUGGUUCUCUUACUCAGGACGAACCAGAUCGGUCACUGAUUUAUUUUACUUUAGCCGGCAGGUAAGUAUCUCGGAGCUCCAAAUUGUGUGAAGCAUGCUGCAUAUGAUUUCCUGAAACGAAACAACUGUGAUUGUUUUUGUUUGCAUUUGUUUUACUUGAUUUUACAAAUGCGCGCAACCUAUAUUCUAGUAGCUAUGUUUUACCUAUUAGAUUUCAAACCUAACUAAGGUUGGGUCGGCCCCUAUUGGGCUAGCGAGGACGAAAUGCUCACCCCUACAUUUCAGGUUACCACGAGGUCAUUCCGGACGAUUUGGAUUAGAGGUGGGUCGUUGGCCGAGUCCAUGUGUUGCUGUUCCUGUUGCUUGAAGUUCUUCCCAUUUGGUACUCUAUCGAUUUACUAGCUUCUCUUUCUAUGUUGAACUCUGUGAGGUCCGCCUACCUGGGAGCGCGCCUCACCCCUUUGUUUUACUGUUAUUGUUGAACUCCUUUCAUUUUGGUUAUGAUGUAAGCCCUAAGGCAUCACAGUGCACUUGCCACUUUAUUUUGUUGCUUUCCAGACUUGUUAUUUUAAAUGUUGGGUUGUUGAUUUAAAGUCCUUUCUUAAAA
Long non-coding RNA from Rosa rugosa (rugosa rose), 1425 nucleotides. RefSeq lists it as uncharacterized. The record is from RefSeq and is a predicted model, not a curated record. Lineage: Eukaryota; Viridiplantae; Streptophyta; Magnoliopsida; Rosales; Rosaceae. The transcript is spliced from 4 exons.